GAUGAACGCUGGCGGCGUGCCUAACACAUGCAAGUCGAACGAAGCUACAUUUUACGAUCCCUUCGGGGUGACGAAUUAUAGACUGAGUGGCGGACGGGUGAGUAACGCGUGGGCAACCUGCCCUAUACCGGGGGAUAGCAGCUGGAAACGGCUGAUAAUACCGCAUAAGCGCACAGAGAGACAUCUCUUAGUGUGAAAAACUCCGGUGGUAUAGGAUGGACCCGCGUCUGAUUAGCCAGUUGGUGAGGUAAAGGCCCACCAAAGCGAAGAUCAGUAGCCGACCUGAGAGGGUGACCGGCCACAUUGGGACUGAGACACGGCCCAAACUCCUACGGGAGGCAGCAGUGGGGAAUAUUGCACAAUGGGCGAAAGCCUGAUGCAGCGACGCCGCGUGAGUGAUGAAGUAUUUCGGUAUGUAAAGCUCUAUCAGCAGGGAAGAAAAUGACGGUACCUGACUAAGAAGCUCCGGCUAAAUACGUGCCAGC
This 485-nucleotide ribosomal RNA is filed under the name uncultured bacterium. RNAcentral's name for it is "bacterial SSU rRNA". It matches the Rfam family "Bacterial small subunit ribosomal RNA", at positions 28 to 512 of the family's 1533-position model. The record is from RNAcentral.